UCGACUUGAGUUGUUAUUCUAGAUCUUGCUUUGAUUAUGCAUGUUGAGACCAAUUUAUUGAUUUGAUAUACUGAGAUGAUAGAGACACUUAGGUUUUAACCCAUUUAACCUGUAAGAAGUUUACGUAUUGAAUUAACCCUUGUAAACCCCUUUGAUCAUAACAUAUUUUUUAACCCAUUUUUAUUAACCCGUAACCCAUAUGUAUGUUGUAAAAUUAUCCUUGUUAUUG
This 229-nucleotide long non-coding RNA is filed under the name Gossypium raimondii (Peruvian cotton). Its description in RNAcentral is "long non-coding RNA (GRAI_LNC003551)". The record is from RNAcentral. Lineage: Eukaryota; Viridiplantae; Streptophyta; Magnoliopsida; Malvales; Malvaceae.